CCUACGGGGGACAGCAGUGAGGAAUAUUGGUCAAUGGGCGCGAGCCUGAACCAGCCAAGUAGCGUGAAGGAUGACUGCCCUACGGGUUGUAAACUUCUUUUAUAAAGGAAUAAAGUGAGGCACGUGUGCCUUUUUGUAUGUACUUUAUGAAUAAGGAUCGGCUAACUCCGUGCCAGCAGCCGCGGUAAUAAGGAGGAUCCGAGCGUUAUCCGGAUUUGUUUGGUUUAAAGGGAGCGUAGUUGGGUUGUUAAGUCAGUUGUGAAAGUUUGCGGCUCAACCGUAAAAUUGCAAUUGAUACUGGCAGCCUUGAGUACAGUUGAGGUAGGCGGAAUUCGUGGUGUAGCGGUGAAAUGCUUAGAUAUCACGAAGAACUCCGAUUGCGAAGGCAGCUUACUAAACUGCCACUGACAUUGAUGCUCGAAAGUGUGGGUAUCAAACAGGAUUAGAUACCCCGGUAGUC
This 460-nucleotide ribosomal RNA is filed under the name uncultured bacterium. RNAcentral's name for it is "partial 16S ribosomal RNA". It matches the Rfam family "Bacterial small subunit ribosomal RNA", at positions 338 to 795 of the family's 1533-position model. The record is from RNAcentral.